AUGAAUGAAAGCUUCUACCCGAUCAUGUCGUGGAAUGUCCGCGGCCUCAACUAGCUGGUGAAACGCGCGGCGAUUUGCGAGGUAGUUAUGGCGAACAAAGUGGCAAUCCUUUGCCUACAGGAAACUAAGAUAGAUGUCUGGACUCCGAGCAUAGUCAGGGAGAUCGGGGGCGCUGCUCUUUCCGAAUGUGUCGUCCUCCCUGCAAUAAGCUCCCGCGGUGGAGCUGCAAUCUUCUAGAACAAUGAUGUUGUCAACAUAGCUUCUCAUGUUAUAGGCGAGUCCACGAUCACUGCUAAAGUGACACUUCUCUAG
This 312-nucleotide ribosomal RNA is filed under the name Triticum aestivum (bread wheat). RNAcentral describes it as "partial small subunit ribosomal RNA". The record is from RNAcentral. Lineage: Eukaryota; Viridiplantae; Streptophyta; Magnoliopsida; Poales; Poaceae.